RNAcentral lists this transfer RNA (84 nucleotides) under Virgisporangium aurantiacum. RNAcentral's name for it is "tRNA-Ser". The record is from RNAcentral. Lineage: Bacteria; Bacillati; Actinomycetota; Actinomycetes; Micromonosporales; Micromonosporaceae.
GGCCGGGCUGGUGCUGGUUCUGCUGGCGCCGGCGCUGCUGCUGCCGCCGGUGCGGCGCCGGUUGCGGACGACCGGCCAGGUCCC